GAUGAACGCUAGCGGCAGGCCUAACACAUGCAAGUCGAGGGGCAGCACAGAAACAGCAAUGUUUUGGUGGCGACCGGCGGACGGGUGCGUAACGCGUCUGCAACCUACCUUUAACAGGGGGAUAACGGAGAGAAAUUUCCACUAAUACCCCAUAACAUCGAUCAAGGCAUCUUGAUUGGUUGAAAACUCCGGUGGUUAAAGCUGGGCAUGCGUUGUAUUAGGUAGUUGGUGAGGUAAUGGCUCACCAAGCCUACGAUACAUAGGGGGACUGAGAGGCUAGCCCACCACACUGGUACUGAGACACGGACCAGACUCCUACGGGAGGCAGCAGUGAGGAAGAUUGGUCAAUGGGGGCAACCCUGAACCAGCCAUGCCGCGUGCAGGAAGACGGCUCUAUGAGUUGUAAACUGCUUUUAAACAGGGAUAAAGCACAGUAUGUAUACUGUGUUGAAGGUACUGUAAGAAUAAGGAUCGGCUAACUCCGUGCCAGCCGCCGCCGUAA
Molecule: ribosomal RNA, 502 nt
Filed under: uncultured bacterium
Lineage: Bacteria
Description: partial 16S ribosomal RNA
Rfam family: Bacterial small subunit ribosomal RNA
Source: RNAcentral